GUCAACACUUGCAUUCAUCCUUCCAGCUGUUGGCAUUGCUAUUAUUAUUAUCUCCUUGCAUUUCUCCAUGAAAAUGAGAAGAGGUUGCAAACAAGCCCAGGAACAAGCAGGAAAGCUCAGUAGCACACUGGAUCAUCAGAAAACACAGGAACAAGCUGGCACACCAUAUGCUGAACUUCAGUGGCCUGAAUGUACCAAGGAAAAAAUGAACAUCCGUUUUCACAAAGAAACAGCCGAGUAUGCCACUGUGCGGAGCACACGUAAAUAACUUUUUCGCUUAGAUGAUCGGCACUGCAAGCAUAAGACCAUUAGAUACAGGAGCAGAAAUAGGCCAUUCAUCCCAUCGAGUCUACUCCGUCAUUCUAUCAUGGGCUGAUCAAAUUCUUCCAGUCAUCCCCACUCCCCUGCCUUCUCCCCAUAACCUUUGAUGUCAUGGCUAAUCAAGAACCUAUUUAUCUCUGCCUUAAAUAUACCUGAUGACUUGGCCUCCACAGCCACUCAUGGCAACAAAUUCCACAGAAUUACCACCUUCUUAUUAAAGUAAUUUCUCCGCACCUCUAUUUUAAAUGGGCUUCCUUCAAUCCUGAAGUCGUGCACUCUUGUCCUAGACUCCCCUGCCAUGGGAAAUAACUUCACCAUAUCUAAUCUGUUCAGGCCUCCUAAUAUUCAGGUGCAUAUUGGUAGUCUACUGAACAUUUCUUUCUCUGCCCAGUGAUCUUAGUCUAUUGGAGAUGAGAACAGAAUAUUUUAUAAGUAUUUAUGAAUGAUACUGUAUGCUUAAAUAUUGUCUUGCUGCCUAAAGAGUCAUUUGUAAUGGAAUACCUUUGUAUUGGUAUU
Hypanus sabinus (Atlantic stingray) is the source of this 837-nucleotide long non-coding RNA. RefSeq lists it as uncharacterized. The record is from RefSeq and is a predicted model, not a curated record. NCBI's taxonomy places the organism in Eukaryota, Metazoa, Chordata, Chondrichthyes, Myliobatiformes, Dasyatidae. The transcript is spliced from 3 exons.